Molecule: small RNA, 80 nt
Organism: Xanthomonas oryzae pv. oryzae
Lineage: Bacteria; Pseudomonadati; Pseudomonadota; Gammaproteobacteria; Lysobacterales; Lysobacteraceae
Rfam family: Xanthomonas sRNA sX9
Source: Rfam
AUGUACCGCUCGUACACUGCGGUUCUGAGCGCGCCGUGCGCACCUACUUGACGACUGCUCGUGACGCCUGGGUCGCAUCC